RNAcentral lists this non-coding RNA (174 nucleotides) under uncultured Acidaminococcus sp. Its description in RNAcentral is "6S / SsrS RNA". It matches the Rfam family "6S / SsrS RNA". Rfam says of the family: E. coli 6S RNA was the first non coding RNA to be sequenced, but its function was unknown until recently. It consists of 184 nucleotides that fold into an extended hairpin structure with a large single-stranded internal bulge. Lineage: Bacteria; Bacillati; Bacillota; Negativicutes; Acidaminococcales; Acidaminococcaceae. The record is from RNAcentral.
CCCUCCGAUGUACGAAAAAGUCCUAUAGUUUUGAGCCAACACUCUCUAUAAGGGAGCCCGUGUACUCCGGCCGUUGAUGAUAUGCCCUUGCGAGGGGACAUCAGAAGUGACAGGGAGGGCACCCACCUGCAUAUGCAGGUUCAAAACAGGGGACCAAAACGGCAUUGUAGGGCU